RNAcentral lists this long non-coding RNA (212 nucleotides) under Olea europaea (common olive). RNAcentral's name for it is "long non-coding RNA (OEUR_LNC011525)". Lineage: Eukaryota; Viridiplantae; Streptophyta; Magnoliopsida; Lamiales; Oleaceae. The record is from RNAcentral.
UCUCUUUGUGAUCAACCGCCUAAAAACUGCUUGAUCGUUCUAUAACUGCCCACUUUCCUCGUAAUGGCCAACUUGUCAUGGAACUGCCUUUUCUAACUGCUGCCAUUACUCUUUGUCGUUCAACCGUCUUCAAUUGAAUUCUUUAAAUCGUGGAACGUGAUAGGGGUGCUUAAUAACUGCUUUGAUAACUGCGCUUCUUGAUAACCAUAACA